This 538-nucleotide ribosomal RNA is filed under the name Yarrowia lipolytica. Its description in RNAcentral is "eukaryotic LSU rRNA". It matches the Rfam family "Eukaryotic large subunit ribosomal RNA", at positions 47 to 667 of the family's 3401-position model. The record is from RNAcentral. Lineage: Eukaryota; Fungi; Ascomycota; Dipodascomycetes; Dipodascales.
UAAGCGGAGGAAAAGAAACCAACAGGGAUUGCCUCAGUAACGGCGAGUGAAGCGGCAAAAGCUCAAAUUUGAAACCCUCGGGAUUGUAAUUUGAAGAUUUGGCAUUGGAGAAAGCUAACCCAAGUUGCUUGGAAUAGUACGUCAUAGAGGGUGACAACCCCGUCUGGCUAACCGUUCUCCAUGUAUUGCCUUAUCAAAGAGUCGAGUUGUUUGGGAAUGCAGCUCAAAGUGGGUGGUAAACUCCAUCUAAAGCUAAAUACUGGUGAGAGACCGAUAGCGAACAAGUACUGUGAAGGAAAGGUGAAAAGAACUUUGAAAAGAGAGUGAAAUAGUAUGUGAAAUUGUUGAUAGGGAAGGAAAUGAGUGGAGAGUGGCCGAGGUUUCAGCCGCCCCUCGUGGGCGGUGUACUGCCGACGCCGAGUCAUCGAUAGCGAGACGAGGGUUACAAAUGGGAGCGCCUUCGGGCGUUCUCCCCUAACCCUCCACACUGCCACCGACGACAUAAUCCACCCAUUUCACCCGUCUUGAAACACGGACC